This 497-nucleotide ribosomal RNA is filed under the name uncultured bacterium. Its description in RNAcentral is "partial 16S ribosomal RNA". It matches the Rfam family "Bacterial small subunit ribosomal RNA", at positions 28 to 507 of the family's 1533-position model. The record is from RNAcentral.
GAUGAACGCUGGCGGCGUGCCUAAUACAUGCAAGUCGAGCGAACAGACGAGGAGCUUGCUCCUCUGACGUUAGCGGCGGACGGGUGAGUAACACGUGGAUAACCUACCUAUAAGACUGGGAUAACUUCGGGAAACCGGAGCUAAUACCGGAUAAUAUAUUGAACCGCAUGGUUCAAUAGUGAAAGACGGUUUUGCUGUCACUUAUAGAUGGAUCCGCGCCGCAUUAGCUAGUUGGUAAGGUAACGGCUUACCAAGGCAACGAUGCGUAGCCGACCUGAGAGGGUGAUCAGCCACACUGGAACUGAGACACGGUCCAGACUCCUACGGGAGGCAGCAGUAGGGAAUCUUCCGCAAUGGGCGAAAGCCUGACGGAGCAACGCCGCGUGGGUGAUGAAGGUCUUCGGAUCGUAAAGCUCUUUUAUUGGGAAAGAACAAAUGUGUAAGUAUCUAUGCACGUCUUGACGGUACCUAAUCAGAAAGCCACGGCUAACUACGUG